AGAGUUCGAUCCUGGCUUAGGAUGAACGCUGGCGGCAUGCUUAACACAUGCAAGUCGGACGGAAAGUGGUGUUUUUAGGGGUUGAUGGGUGAGUAACGCAUAAGAACCUGCCCUUGGGAGGGGAACAACAGCUGGAAAUGGCUGCUAAUACCCUGUAGGCUGAAGAGCAAAAGGAGGAAUUUGCCCGAGGAGGGGCUUGCAUCUGAUUAGCUAGUUGGUGAGGCUACCAAGGCGAUGAUUAGUAGUCGGUUCGACAGGAUGAUCAGCCACACUAGGACUGUGACACGACCCAGACUUCUAUAGGAGGCAGCAGUGGGGAAUUUUUCACAAUGGCAAAAGCCUGACGGAGCAAUUCCGCGUGGGGGUAGAAGGCCCACAGGUCGUGAACUUCUUUUCUCGAAGAAGAAGCAAUGACGAUAUCUAGGGAAUAAGCGUCGGUUAACUCUGUGCCAUUAGUUGCGAUAAGACAGACGAUGCAAGCGUUAUCCGGAAUGAUUGGGUGUAAAGCGUCUAUAGGUGGUUUUUUAAGUUUGCCGUCAAAUCCCAAGGCUCAACCCUGGACAGGCGGUGGAAACUACCAAGCUGGAGUACGGUAGGGGUAAAGGGAAUUUUCGGUGGAGCGGUGAAAUACAUAGAGAUUGGAAAGAACACCAACGGUGAAAGCACUCUGCUGGGUCGACACAGACACUGAGAGACGAAAGCUAGGGGAGCGAAUGGGAUUAGAUACCCUAGUAGUCCUAGCCGUAAAUGAUGGAUACUAAAUGCUGUGCGUAUCGACCCAUGCAGUGCUAUAGCUAAUGCAUUAAGUAUCCCACCUGGGGAGUAUGUUUGCAAGAAUGAAACUCAGAGGAAUUGAUGGGGGCUCGCACAAGCGGUGGAGCAUGUGGUUUAAUUCGAUGCAAAGUGAAGAACCUUACCAAGGCUUGACAUGCCUCGAAUCCUCUCGAAAGAGAGGGGUGCCUUCGGGAACGCGAACACAAGUGGUGCAUGGUUGUUGUCAGCUCGUGCCGUAAGGUGUUAGGUUAAGUCCAGCAAUCAGUGCAACCCUCGUGUUUAGUUGCCAUCGUUGAAUUUGAAACCAUGAACACACUGCCGAUGAUAAGCCAGAAGAAGGUGAGGAUGACGUCAAGUCAUUAUGCCUUUUAUGCUCUGGUCGACACACGUGCUACAAUGGCCAGGACAAAGGGUCGCGAUCCCGCGAAGGUGAGCUAACCCCAAAACCCAUCCUCAGUUUGGAUUGCAGGCUGCAACUCGCCUACAUGAAGUUGGAAUCGCUAGUAAUCGCCGGUCAGUCAUACGGCGGUGAAUUCAUUCCCGGGCUUUAUACAUACCGCCCGUCACACUAUAGGAGCGCCAGUCACAUUAGAGGAGCUGGCCAUGCCUGAAGUCGUUACCUUAACCGCAAGGAGGGGGAUGCCGAAGGCAAGGCUAGUGAUUGGAGUGAAGUCGUAACAAGGUAGCCGUACUAGAAGGUGUGGCUG
This 1481-nucleotide ribosomal RNA is filed under the name Handroanthus impetiginosus. RNAcentral's name for it is "bacterial SSU rRNA". It matches the Rfam family "Bacterial small subunit ribosomal RNA". The record is from RNAcentral. Lineage: Eukaryota; Viridiplantae; Streptophyta; Magnoliopsida; Lamiales; Bignoniaceae.